UUUUCGUAGGUGAACCAGCGGAAGGAUCAUUACCGAGUUAGGAGCCCUUGGGCUCCACACUUGCAACCCUUUCCUUACAACCUUUGGUUGCUUUGGCGGAGCGGAGGAGUCUCAUCUCCGCCCGCCGGCGUCGGUCGGUGCGCCCUCCGCCAGAGAUUUAUCAAAACCCCCUUAAAAACGUGUCAGUCUGAAGCAAAAAAUUAAAAAUAAAAAAAAAACUACCAACAACGGAUCUCUGGGAUCUAGCAACAAUGAAGAACGCAGCAGAACGGAAGA
Molecule: unclassified non-coding RNA, 276 nt
Filed under: plant metagenome
Description: partial contains small subunit ribosomal RNA, internal transcribed spacer 1, and 5.8S ribosomal RNA
Source: RNAcentral